AUAUUAUCAACAACCCUAAAUAUUACUAAGAUAAACAAUUGUGCUAAACAAUACAUAUCCUACCUUUUGGGGCUCAACCAAUAAAACAAUAAAAAGUUGACCCAUUUGUAAAGUGCAGAAAGUUGAACAGUUGUGGAAUUACGUCAAAAGUGCCAAAUAUAAAGUUGUAAAUAAAAAGUUUUGAAAAUUCGCAAGUUGGUUGGCAUCGGUCGGAAAUUUCUAGAGGCGUGGUGAGUUUCGCCAGUUGGUUAGCGUCGGUUAGAAUUUUCUAGAAGCGUGGUGAAUAAAAUUGAGCUGCCAUCAAGUAGCGAAUACGAAAGCAUGAGUGAGGAGGAGAUAAAGGGAAAGCGAUAUGGUGCUGUCACACGGGCGUCGGCAAAGCGAGGAGACAAAAAUGAAAAUGCAGAAGAACAGCGUCUAUCAGAAGAGUGUACAGACCAAAUAAAAGAGAUGUAAGCAGAGAGUAAUAAAAGUCUACAACAAAUAAUUCAGCUGCUUACUCAUAAGAUUCAAGCUGAUGAAAUUACCCAGAAAGAGCCGAAAGUAACUGCAGACAAUUUUGCAAAAAUUGUACCCGACUUCGAUGGCGUCAGCAUCCCAGAGGAGAUUUGGCUUGAAAAUUUUGAGCAGAAUGCAGAUGCAUAUGACAUAAGAUACUAAGCGCUUGAAAGUAGUUUUGCUGAACGCUACAAAGGUCCUAGAGAGGUGCCUUGUGGACACAGGAUCCGAUGUGUCAAUCGUAUGUCAGUCUUUGUACAAUAAACUUCAAAGUACUGUGAUGCAGAAGUGUUAUUCCGUUCUACGGGGCCUUGGAAGCGCUAAGACGCAGCCGCUAGUUUCAUUUAUGGGCAGAGCACACGUUGCUGGGAUCGAAGCCAUAGAAAAGUUUGUUGUGAUACAAUACAAUCACAUCGAGAACGACGUAAUACUUGGCUUUGACUUUGCAUCGCAGUUCUGCGUGACUUUAAAUGACGGAGAAUUCAUCUUUACAAAGGCGCCAGCAUUGCCGGAAUGCGCUGAAUCAAAAGAACUAAGUAUGUACAAUAUUGUUGAGACUGGUAAUAACAUAGAUGCUUCUCCACAGUACCAGCCGAUGAUCGAGUCAAUGAUAGGAGAGUACAAGCCAGCCAAAAACAACACUGAAUGCCCGAUGUCGAUAAAGAUCGUGCUAGAGGAGCGUACAAAACCAUUUCGUCAUCAUCCAAGCCGUCACUCAGCUGUGGAAUCCGAGUCAAUCAGAAAACAGUCGUCGUGGUCAAGAAGAAGGAUGGCACAGACAGAAUCUGCGUUAACUUUCGUCAAUUAAAUAGUAUGGUACUUAAGGACUGCUUCCCAGUGCCACGCAUGGAUGAUGUGCUGGAACAGCUUCAGCCCGCAAAUGUGUAUGUAGUUAUGGAUCUGGAGAAUAGCUUCCUCCACGUACCAAUUGAGGAGUCCAGCCGCAAGUUUACAGCGUUCAUAACCAAGGAAAUGCUUUUUGAAUUCAAUCGAGCACCGUAUGGCUUUGCAACUUAAUCGUUUUGUCAGUUGCGUAUUUGAAGACUUGAUUGAAAAAGACGUCGCAGAGCGAUUCAAGCGCCACAGCUACAUUCUGGAGGUUAAAGCAUCAUAUCUUGCCAUGCAGAGAUUACGCUACUACCUGCUAGGCAUACAUUUCAAAUUGGUGACGGAUUGCGCUGCUUUUUCGCAAACAAUAAAAAAAAGGGGUGCCACGAGAAUUUGCACUUUGGAUACUUGCUUUGCAGGACUUUAAUUUCGAAGUUGAGCAUCGCUCCGGCAGAAGGAUGAAGCACGUUGACAGUCUCAGCCGAUAUCCACAAGAUAUGCCGUAACUUCUGAAGUUGCAGCUAGAUUAAAAGUUGCCCAGGAAAAGGAUAACUACAUUAAAGCUAUAGCAGAAAUAUUAAAAUUACAGCCCUAUGAAAAUUUUAAGCUGCAAGGUUGAAUUGUAUACAAAACCAUGAACGGCAGUGAAUUGUUGGUCGUACCCAAAACAAUGGAGCACACACACUACAGCAGCAGUUCUGGAUACCACAUAUGGAACGAAAAGUAGCCCAGCUGAUUAACACUUGCGUCAAGUGCAUUAUUGUCAAACGGCGCUUCUGUACAUUCUGGCCAUGCCUAAGGUUGCCCCCGAGAACUACCGCCUGCUCCUUCUCCUUCCUGCUGCCCUAGAAGAAAAACAAGUCAUGGUCAAACAUGACAAGGUCACCUUAAACUCCGAGGAAACCUAUGCCAUGGUGAACGAUUGCCUCUCCAUAGGCAACACAACUGUUGGGAAAAGAGUCUCCUAAAGAUGGAUGAAAACAGCUGCAUCCCCAAGCUACUCAAGGGUGGUCAGGCUAGAGGCGAACAACGGGGAUCGCAUAGAACUGGUCGAGGACGGCACUAUGUUCCUGUCCAACUUCAACGGAACCUUGGAAGCUGGACCCCAAACUCACAACUUAUCCGGAACCUACAUAGUUUAGUUCACGAAUGAGACGAUUAGGGUGGCUGGAAGAACCUGCACUAGCUACUCGACGAGCCACCUAACUACAGUCACCGCCCUCGCUCCAUUACGUAAUCGACUCUCUACACCAUAUGGAGGAAGCUGAUAUCGACCAAGGGUAUACCUGUAGUGACAAACAACACCCCAGGCCCGGAGAUGUUAGACACAGGCCGGGCACCCAAAGCCCUAUAAUCUGCGGGACGCAGAUCUUGAGUGGGGAGGAGUUAUGAACCCUCUCCAAGUGCAUUCCCCCCUCCCCUAUCGACCGUCGUUCUCACACGCGCUCCCCCCAUUGAGCCACUCGACGGUCAUUCACUUUUAAUUGCACUCCCAGAACGCUGACUUCGCCCCCCCAACAUGCCCAUUAACCAGACGAUAUAUUCGACGGCUGCGUCGGCUACAAUGUGCAGCGUCAGCAGGCGACCGCCAGACGUUCUGUAAGCAACCGCUGACUCGCAUUUCGGCCGCUGCCCAAUGGCUACGCGGGGUUGCGCCUCGCCCUGCGCUGGCUACAAAAAGUCGCACUCAGCACUGGAGCCGGAGCCCUGAUGAGAACCAACGCCAACUCUAAAGAGCAGUCUUCGACAGACACCCGAUCUUGCUAGUGAAAAAACUCCGCAAAGCCAAUUUAAAUCCGAAUAUUUCUUUUAUUAAUUUGUAAUCCUAAGUUGUUUGAUCUAUUGAAAUUAAAACGUUCUUGAUAACUGAUCUACUGAACUCUUCUCAAUACUGGGGGAAUCAAUCCUAGGGUCUAUCUUCAACUCAACACAUGUUUAAAAUGCUGUUCAUUGUUACUAGGUGAGCUAUGCGGCGAGAAACUAAUUCACUUAACUUACAUGUAACAGCAGUUAUCGAUAUGCGAUGAUCGAUAAUCAUCGCAAAGGGUAGCGUCGUGAGCGCAGGCAGAAGAGGAAGAAGGAGUUAUAAGAAAAAGGACAAGCAUAGAGCAGUCGAAGAAGAACAAAGCGAGUUGAAAAAUGUGCAGUAAAAAGAUCGUCUAGCCGAAAUAUAAUAAGCAAACUACUAUAAUAUCAAAAUAUUACUAAGAUAAACAAUUGUGCUAAACAAUACAUAUCCUACCUUUUGGGGCUCAACCAAUAAAACAAUAAAAAGUUGACCCAUUUGUAAAGUGCAGAAAGUUGAACAGUUGUGGAAUUACGUCAAAAGUGCCAAAUAUAAAGUUGUAAAUAAAAAGUUGUGAAAAUUCGCAAGUUGGUUGGCAUCGGUCGGAAAUUUCUAGAAGCGUGGUGAGUUUCGCCAGUUGGUUAGCGUCGGUUAGAAUUUUCUAGAAGCGUGGUGAAUAAAAUUGAGCUGCCAUCAAGUAGCGAAUACGAAAGCAUGAGUGAGGAGGAGAUAAAGGGAAAGCGAUAUGGUGCUGUCACACGGGCGUCGGCAAAGCGAGGAGACAAAAAUGAAAAUGCAGAAGAACAGCGUCUAUCAGAAGAGUGUACAGACCAAAUAAAAGAGAUAUUCAAGCUGAUGAAAUUACCCAGAAAGAGCCGAAAGUAAUUGCAGACAAUUUUGCAAAAAUUGUACCCGACUUCGAUGGCGUCAGCAUCCCAGUGGAGAAACGGCUUGAAAAUUUUGAGCAGAAUGCAGAUGCAUAUGACAUAAGAUACUAAGCGCUUGAAAGUAGUUUUGCUGAA
This is a long non-coding RNA of Drosophila yakuba, 4134 nucleotides long. RefSeq lists it as uncharacterized. Lineage: Eukaryota; Metazoa; Arthropoda; Insecta; Diptera; Drosophilidae. The record is from RefSeq and is a predicted model, not a curated record. The transcript has 2 exons.